Molecule: long non-coding RNA, 216 nt
Filed under: Brassica napus (rape)
Lineage: Eukaryota; Viridiplantae; Streptophyta; Magnoliopsida; Brassicales; Brassicaceae
Description: long non-coding RNA (BNAP_LNC002750)
Source: RNAcentral
GCAAAAAUCUAUCAUUUGAUAGGGCAAACCCAACCCAGAAACCAACUUUUGUAUCUCAUAAUAUGUAGCUGGUGAAAGAUUAUCUUCCGGUAAUAUAUCUUUCACAAAAUCAGCUAUCGCAUCAACACAGUCUUCGCUUAAGUUAUAAUCUGUUUUAAUAGACAUCAUCCUUGUAGCAGAUGACAGAGGCGAAAUACCAUCUCUACAACCAUCAUA